RNAcentral lists this non-coding RNA (48 nucleotides) under Trichobilharzia regenti. The record is from RNAcentral. Lineage: Eukaryota; Metazoa; Platyhelminthes; Trematoda; Strigeidida; Schistosomatidae.
AUCCAGGUGACGAGUCCAAAAUAAGACGUAAUGCGCGUUGUCCUGGAU